UCCCUGCUGCCUUACCAAUUGGAAUAUGUUACUGCCAUCAGGACAGAUGCAUAGGUCCCUGAUUAUGUUCUUUGCUGCUCUGUCGUUCUGUUUUCUAUAGCUGCAGGUCGAGUUUCGGUAAUCACAUGGUUGGAGUAAAAGCCGUUUUUUUUGUUGUGAAAGUAAACGGAACUGCGGAUGCAGCUGCCGCUGAAUGCGAGCCAAAAGAAAAAGAGUUUAGUCUCGUAGUUAGAUCGCAAUCGAGCUUUAUCUUUUCAGGAACCGGAUGAAGCAUUAAGAAGAGUUAUACUGCGU
Molecule: non-coding RNA, 294 nt
Organism: Arachis ipaensis
Lineage: Eukaryota; Viridiplantae; Streptophyta; Magnoliopsida; Fabales; Fabaceae
Source: RefSeq, a predicted model, not a curated record